Magnolia sinica is the source of this 608-nucleotide long non-coding RNA. RefSeq lists it as uncharacterized. The record is from RefSeq and is a predicted model, not a curated record. NCBI's taxonomy places the organism in Eukaryota, Viridiplantae, Streptophyta, Magnoliopsida, Magnoliales, Magnoliaceae. The transcript has 3 exons.
CUUUUCACAUGAGCCAUAAUUUGUACUUUCUUCUCUCUUGUAGAACUACAUGAUUAAGAGAAAGUGAACCUGUUUGACUGGAAUUGUAUAUUUUCCGGCAGCUAUAUUCAUACACAGUCAUUGACUCGGUGGGAAAUAUAGUGGGCUCAUUUCUUUCAGGCUUCUUUAAAGUUGUUAGUACUUUAUUUGGAGCUCCGUUAGACUUUCUCGCAAGCAAAUCUUGCAGUAUGUUAACAAUAUAGCAGGUAUUGCAUAUGCAAUGGAUAUGCUGGAUUAUGUUGAAAAGGAGUGUUAAGUGUUUACCACUCUUUCUAUGGCAUGGGACAAUUUGAUCUAUCUGCUUUUGAAGGUUGAUAAAGUAGAAAGUUCUACUGUGGGAGAAAUUGCACAUAAACCUGCCUACUUUGUACCUGGUAAUUUUUAUUUGCAUUUAAUUAUGUAGUUGAGAAACUCGCUACAUGCUGUCUGUAAAGCUGUUUUUGCAAUUUUAUUUUAUAUCACAAAUUCAAAAUGGAGCAUCUAUAACAUCUAAUGCUAAGUGAUAAUUGUUUAUCUUUAGAAGCGUUGAAUGAACUAACAGAUGGUUGCCCUGCCUCAUAUUAUGCUGA